RNAcentral lists this ribosomal RNA (1617 nucleotides) under Klebsiella pneumoniae subsp. pneumoniae. RNAcentral's name for it is "bacterial LSU rRNA". It matches the Rfam family "Bacterial large subunit ribosomal RNA", at positions 104 to 1767 of the family's 2925-position model. Lineage: Bacteria; Pseudomonadati; Pseudomonadota; Gammaproteobacteria; Enterobacterales; Enterobacteriaceae. The record is from RNAcentral.
CCGGCGAUGUCCGAAUGGGGAAACCCAGUGCAAUUCGUUGCACUAUCGUUAACUGAAUACAUAGGUUAACGAGGCGAACCGGGGGAACUGAAACAUCUAAGUACCCCGAGGAAAAGAAAUCAACCGAGAUUCCCCCAGUAGCGGCGAGCGAACGGGGAGCAGCCCAGAGUCUGAAUCAGCUUGUGUGUUAGUGGAACGGUCUGGAAAGUCCGACGGUACAGGGUGAUAGUCCCGUACACCAAAAUGCACAGGCUGUGAACUCGAAGAGUAGGGCGGGACACGUGGUAUCCUGUCUGAAUAUGGGGGGACCAUCCUCCAAGGCUAAAUACUCCUGACUGACCGAUAGUGAACCAGUACCGUGAGGGAAAGGCGAAAAGAACCCCGGCGAGGGGAGUGAAAAAGAACCUGAAACCGUGUACGUACAAGCAGUGGGAGCACCUUCGGGUGUGACUGCGUACCUUUUGUAUAAUGGGUCAGCGACUUAUAUUCUGUAGCAAGGUUAACCGUAUAGGGGAGCCGCAGGGAAACCGAGUCUUAACUGGGCGUUAAGUUGCAGGGUAUAGACCCGAAACCCGGUGAUCUAGCCAUGGGCAGGUUGAAGGUUGGGUAACACUAACUGGAGGACCGAACCGACUAAUGUUGAAAAAUUAGCGGAUGACUUGUGGCUGGGGGUGAAAGGCCAAUCAAACCGGGAGAUAGCUGGUUCUCCCCGAAAGCUAUUUAGGUAGCGCCUCGUGAAUUCAUCUUCGGGGGUAGAGCACUGUUUCGGCUAGGGGGUCAUCCCGACUUACCAACCCGAUGCAAACUACGAAUACCGAAGAAUGUUAUCACGGGAGACACACGGCGGGUGCUAACGUCCGUCGUGAAGAGGGAAACAACCCAGACCGCCAGCUAAGGUCCCAAAGUCAUGGUUAAGUGGGAAACGAUGUGGGAAGGCACAGACAGCCAGGAUGUUGGCUUAGAAGCAGCCAUCAUUUAAAGAAAGCGUAAUAGCUCACUGGUCGAGUCGGCCUGCGCGGAAGAUGUAACGGGGCUAAACCAUGCACCGAAGCUGCGGCAGCGACACUAUGUGUUGUUGGGUAGGGGAGCGUUCUGUAAGCCUGCGAAGGUGUGCUGUGAGGCAUGCUGGAGGUAUCAGAAGUGCGAAUGCUGACAUAAGUAACGAUAAAGCGGGUGAAAAGCCCGCUCGCCGGAAGACCAAGGGUUCCUGUCCAACGUUAAUCGGGGCAGGGUGAGUCGACCCCUAAGGCGAGGCCGAAAGGCGUAGUCGAUGGGAAACAGGUUAAUAUUCCUGUACUUGGUGUUACUGCGAAGGGGGGACGGAGAAGGCUAUGUUAGCCGGGCGACGGUUGUCCCGGUUUAAGCAUGUAGGCUGGUUGUCCAGGCAAAUCCGGAUAAUCAAGGCUGAGGUGUGAUGACGAGGCACUACGGUGCUGAAGUAACAAAUGCCCUGCUUCCAGGAAAAGCCUCUAAGCAUCAGGUAACAUCAAAUCGUACCCCAAACCGACACAGGUGGUCAGGUAGAGAAUACCAAGGCGCUUGAGAGAACUCGGGUGAAGGAACUAGGCAAAAUGGUGCCGUAACUUCGGGAGAAGGCACGCUGGUGUGUAGGUGAAG